Long non-coding RNA from Thalassophryne amazonica, 146 nucleotides. RefSeq lists it as uncharacterized. NCBI's taxonomy places the organism in Eukaryota, Metazoa, Chordata, Actinopteri, Batrachoidiformes, Batrachoididae. The record is from RefSeq and is a predicted model, not a curated record. The transcript is spliced from 3 exons.
GGGAUGCCAUCUAAUGGGCAAUCAGAUGGUUUCAAGUGUUGCACAACAGUGCUCAGUUCAGCAAGUGAUACAGGGUCAAAUUCACCGAAAGUUGCAGGACACAAGUUGUUGAAUGAUAAAACAACAUUAGGAGAAGUGUGAUCUAA